CCAUUUUAUUAUUCAGACAUGUAUAUAUGUGUAUAUUUCUGUUUCAGAAAGAUUUAGUGACAAUAGAUUUUUUGAGAAUGGGAGCCAAUUUGAUGUUAAAUAAAAAAAUAAGAUCUACCUCAUGUUUAAAGCACUCUGCAAAUGUUACAGAAUAUUUUAAGAUCUUAUCUGAAUUAUUUCUGUCAGUAAAUGAAGGAAGAAGCUACUUCAAAUUCCCCCAGACAUUUCAUUUCUUUCAUCAAACAUAUCUUCAUACAUGUGCCCUAAUGUAUAUUAAAAAUUGCCAAGUAGAAAAUUGCAGUCACAAACUCAUUUUGAUUUUUUAUAGUUAUCUUUUCCAAAUGUUUGUAUACAAGACAUCACUAUACACUGCUGAGAUAAAUGCAUACAAGAAAAAAUGCAUAAAAAAUAAAUAAAAGCUUAACAUAAACUGGAAGAAGUUGGAUUCAUAUAGAUAAGGAGGUCACUAUUAGAUAAUACUCUAUGAGUAUCUGAGACUUUAACACUGCAUUAUUGAAUAGUUAAAACUGAUGGUUUUAUCUUUAUUCUACAUGUAUGAGAUGUAAACUGUGAAUGUCACUGAUGUUUAUGCUAUCUAAGGAGCUGCUGUCUUAUCUUUUGUUGGUUCUUAGCUCUAUAUUUUGAGAGGUCUCAUAGAAUUGGAGCAAUUCUCUAAACCUGCUUUCCAUGGGGUUCUGCUUCACUGAGAAGGUUUGGUGUUUUAAAUUAUAUGGAAGUUUUUCUAGGAGCUUUAUAUGCUUGAUGGCAGAAAGCUGAAGAGUCUUUGGAUGUGAUCUGGACAAUCUUGCCACCAACAUUGGGCUGAAUAGUUGAUGUGAGGUCAGUUUUCCUGCAGUAUGACUGAGGGUUCAUGCCAUUUUGGUGAAUCCAGACCAUGUAUUUUAGAGUAAAGACCUAAGGUGUGGUUCUAAGUGCUCUCACCUAGCAUGCAAUUUACACAUCCAAGGAGGGUGAAGCUUUAUUUUGUAAUACUGCACCACGAGGAAUGCCUUGAUUUGGCAAGCCAUUGUUUAUGGUCACUCCUUAUACUAAGAAGAAAAAGUUUAGCCUUCUUUCUGAUAGAAGCCAGAAUGUCCUACAGACAUUCAAGAUCUGAAUAGCUGAAGAAGACAAGGCCAGAAAGUAACACAAUAUUAAGAUGGUGAUGGUACUCUGUUGUGUUUUACUUUUCAAAAUAUGGUAGGACCUUAUGUGACUGAAGCUAUCUCCCUUGAUGAAACUAACAUGCAAAAGACAUUGGGUACAUUUUUCAUUAUACCUUGCCAAUCAAAUUUCCCAUCCUGAUUUUUUUUGGUUAAAAAUUAAUUAAUCAAAGUGUGUCAUAUUUCUCAGAAGGUGAAUUUUUUACAUUUCUGAGCUUAAAGCCAAUAGAAAGCUGGCACUAAUAACUUAAAAGUAAGUCAACCCUUUAUGUCAGUGACUAUUCAGAUAUUAAAGUCACAUAAUAUGUAGAGGACUUUGAAGAAUUCAUUUUCUUCAGCAGGAAUAGUGGUCCCACAGAGAAUCCUCAUUUAUAACUAGUAUCUCAAAUCUUGUGGUUGUAAAAAUGUUACCUGUCGAAUUUUAAAAUCAGGCCAGAUUUAUAGUUGCUGCAGCAGCAAGGCUGGAUUUUUCUGGCAUAAUAAAUUUUAUCAAAUAAUUGUUCCAUAUCUUUUACAAAAAUUAUUACACUAGUUAAGUUUAGAAUUUCUUUAGGCAUGCUUGAGGUUAUGUUUAAUCACAUUUAACCUAAUUUGGGAAGGCAGUUCUACAUUUAAAUACAUUUUAUACAACAUACAAAUUCCCACAUUAGAUUAUAUAAGAUUUGAGACAUCUAUAACCCAAUACUGAUCUAAAUUCCCAAGCAAGAAUAUACUAAAUAUACACUUAAUUGCUUGUAAUUAUUUAAGCAUAUUGAAAACAUUAAAAAAUUGUGAAUAUCCUUGAACACUUGGAAAAAAUUUUGUAUACAUGUAUAUAUGAAAAUACAUAUAUUUUCACAUUUAAAUGGGCCUACAUGUCUAGAAAAUCUUUAUAAAAAAGGAGGACAUAUACAUUGGUUACAUAGAAAAUAGGUGCGUACUAGCUAAAUAUGUCAGUUAGUCCCCUGUGAAUUCUGCAUAAGCUGAAGAAACCACAGAGCGCAUUACAUGUAUCAUGUACUUAAGCAUUAUUAAUUUUUAAAACUUUCUUGGAAAACGUUUGGGCAAUAAAACUAAAAAUUAAUAACUUCUAAAACCAUAAAUUAUUAAGACGUCCAUUUCUUGCUACAUCAUAGUAGCUUUUAUCAAAUCAACUAUCACACUGAGACAACAAGAAAGCCUAGAUUGAAGAACAAAGAAAGAAAACCAGGACCUGAAAAGUCAAGGCUACAGAGAGAGCAUAGGCUGACCUUGUCUACUGUGCUUUCCCCUCUGUGUGUUUCCUGAGUGUGUCAGAGAAGCCAAGCAGAAAGUAGAGACUGAACAGUUUUAAAAGUCUCCUGGGAAAAAUUAUAAUCAAGGAAUAAAAAAGUCAGCUAGGCCAAGGCCCUGGAAAAAGGGUACCACAGAGAAGUGAAACCAACAUUGUAUAGACAUUUGGUGCUGCAGGUCAGUUGUCUGGGUGGCCUUGGAGUGACCUAGUUCUCUCCCUUUUCUUGCUUGGAGUUCUCAGGAACAGCUGUAGAUUGUGAUGGGAAUGCAACGUCUUGAGUUAGGGAGGAACUACUCUGGUACAGCCUUGGCUUUACUCCACUUUUCCCUGGAAGCCAGAUGUCUUUCAAAGAUUUGCCUGAUGAGUUACGUGCCUCUGAUGUAUAUAAUCCAGGGUGGGCUUCCUGUUGGGGUUCCUCAGCUGUAAUGCAAGUGGGACAUGCUCAGUUGAGACUUCACUUGCCCUGUGCAGCUUUGUUGAGGCAUGGAGGGAUUGGCUCACAACAGAUCCUAAGCUUCUUUUGUCUCUUGCUGCCUAUCUGUGAGUAAUAAAUCUGUUGCACAUAACUUGUUGUGUGUAUGUUUUGUCUCACCAGACUCAGACAAAUGGUAAUUAGUAAACCUGCUUUACAAAAUUGACAUAGUGAGUAGAGGCUGGUCUGAAAGAACCAUGGCUUAUGGGCAAAGUAGGGGCAGCAAAUAACCCCCAGGCUGGCACUGGGGGUUACUGCUCUACCCACUUUGCCAAUAAGCAUCAGCCUGGGCAAACAGGGGCUGGAUGUGCAGCUGGAUGUUUGAUCAGGAAAGAAGGGUGAUAAGGUAGGCAUAGGUCACCUCCCCCACCCAGAUGUGUGAGCUGGUUGCUGAUUGAGGCAGAGAGAGAGGAAUGCAGAAACAGGGGAGCACGGCACAGGAUCCCCUGGCUUUGGACACUUAUGUGACUGUUCAUUCCUGGCUAGAGAACUGGGAAAGUGAGUACUCAGAAGAACCCUGAAAGGGAACUAACACGUGUGCUAUGUGGGCCUUCACAGAAAGAGAGACUCAUUAUCUAAAGCAUAAAUAUAGAGAAAGGCCAGAGGAAUCUCAUGCAGCCUGGUUGAUUUUUUUUUUUUUUAAAUCAAGGGACAUUGCAAAUCCAAAUGUCUCAGGCAGAAUGGUACAGUUAGAAAUGGGGCCAGUCAGCCUGAGAAAUUAGGUUCUCAACUGGAGGUCAAUGCCAAUGUCCCUAUAAUCCUGUUAAAACAAGAGGAGAAAAGAAAGGAACUCGGACUUUUCUGGGGGCUCUUGGAUAUUAGAGCCCACAUAACAAUACUUCCAGGUCCCCUUAGGGGAAAAAUUAAACUGAUGACCUCAGGAGAAUUGGGGACAAAUAUGUGACUCGCAGUACUUAUUUGCUUAUGCUUGGGGUCCUUUGAGCCAUUUCAGGUGCCAGAGACUGUGGUUCCCAUAGCUGAGUACAUGAGAGUUGUGAGACAAAGUAGCAAGCAUCAUGCAUCCCUUAAAUAUAUACACCUACUAUGUGCCCACAAACAUAAAAAAUAAAAAGAAGCCAUGUGUAUAAGUCAGGGUUCUGUAGAGGGACAGAACUAAUAGGCGAUAUGUAUAUAUAGCCUAUUUUGUAUAUAUAUAUAUCACCUAUUAUAUAUAUAGGAGUUUAUUAAAGAGUAUUAAACUAAUACGAUCACAAGGUCCCACAAUAGGCCGUCUGCAAACUGAGGAGCAAGGAAGCCAGCCCGAGUCCCAGAGCUGAAGAACUUUAAGUCCUAUGUUUAAGGGCAGGAAGCAUUCAGCACAGGAGAAACAUGUAGGCUGGGAGGCUAAGACAGUCUAGUCUUUUCACAUUCUUCUGCUUGCAAUUUAUCCUAGUCAUGCUGGCAGCUGAUUAGAUUGUGUCCACCCAGAUUAAGGCUGAGUCUGUCUUUUCCAGUUCACUGACUCAAAUGUUAGUCUCCCUUGGCAACACCCUCACAGAUACACCCAGAAUCAAUACUUUGCAUCCUUCAAUCCAAUCGAGUUGACACUCAGUAGUAACCAUCACACUAUGCUCAUUUCUGCUUUCCAGCAUGAUUUCACAAAGCCCCUGACUCUGUGAUGAUGUGCAGCUCUCAGAAAGACGCUUUAAAGACAAAACAGGAUAGACCACUCCCACCCCCAUGCCUCUUGCCCUAGUCACUGUAUUCCUUAGAAGAUAAAUAAUCCUAGUCCUUUCCUCUUCUACAGAUAAGAUAAUGUCUGACAGGGUUAGUGAUUAUGCCUCUGUAAUCUAUAGCCAGAUGUACUCUUACACCCAAACCUUGAUCUGAUUCUGCUCUAAUAUAACUUCUGAACAAGUUUAAUACAAUUUUACAUGUACUAAACACUUACCAUCUCUAUAUAAGCAUUGGGCUAAAAUACUGUGCCAAACAGUCUAAUAAAAACCCUCCACAGGGCUGCCACCAGGCUAUAGGCCUUGGUCUAUAGUCCUCAAUAAAACUUAUAAAUAAAACCCACCGUAACUCUUUAAAAGCUUUUUUUUUCUUUAGUUGACAUACGCAUUGACACUCUGGCUGCUUGUGGAACAGAAUAUCACCACAUCAUAGCCAAGAAUUCGAGCCUAACAGUGGAACAUAUCCACUUCAGCCUGCCACCUAAGCUACCCAAGUCCCAAGUUUCUUCCGCAAAAGCAGUACUGCAAGCUAAGUGGAAAAUAGGGUAUUAUUUUGCUAAUUCAGGCCUUGCUACACACUACACUAUCACAAUGUAACAGCCUCUUCUGGCUGGUCAAAAAGGCCUUUGGGGCACAGAGACUAACAAUGGACUGUCCAGGCUGAAUGCCAGAGUCACUUGGGCAGGAUGCCAAAAAGGUAUUCCAGAGACAGUGAAAUAAAUAUUUUUAACCCUGGAGGUACUCACUAAUAAAAAGGAGGCCUAAUAGCUGGCAGGCAUCUUUGGGUACUAGAGACAGUAUGUACCCCACCUGGGUGUUCUGUUGGUCCCCUUAGUCAGGUGACCAGCAAAGCUACUAACUUUAAGUGGAACCCUUUGCAGCAGCAGGCUUUGGAAGCCAUUCAAUGAGCUGUGGCCCAGGCACUGACUUUAAAAGCUUUAAAGCCUGCUACCCUGAUGAAAUGACAUGUGUGCAUAACCACUCUGCAUGUGGAUUGGAGUCUGUGGCAACAGAAAAUUGCCAAUGGGGUGUGCAAGCCUCUUGGAGUUUGGACAUGUAAGUUGCCUGAGGCCGCCUGCAGAUACACCUCUUUUGAAUGACAACUCCUUGCUUGCCAUUGGACACUAAAGGAGACUGAGCAUCUUGUGACUGAACUGCCACAAAAGACACUGCAACUUGAACUGUCCAUUCUCACCUGGGCACUCACAAACCUUGCCAAUGAAAUUGGACAGGCUCAAUACAGCUCAAUGAUCAAAUGGAUAGGAUACAUUCAAAAGAUUGGGCUUAGCAGCCAAGAGACCAGUAGGCUCCAUGAGCAAGUGGCUAACUUGCCAGAAGGGACUAAACAACAUGUAGGGGAUGUUUUGGAUCCUCCUAUGGAUACCUGGGGCCCAAGACUGAGACGUGCCUACUGACAGUAUGACAUGGCUUGUUUACUGAUGGCUCUUCCAAAUGGCAAGCAGGCAGGGUUCCCUGGGCUGUGGUAGCCAUCUAGCCAGUGGAUAGGUAUCUCAUGGCUGAGACUGGACAUGGGCAUUUUGAACAAUGGGCCAAACUACAUGCAGUGGUGAUAGCCACAUAGACUUCCUCUACCACCCUAUCUUGCUACAUUUUCACUGACUCAUCAGCUGUUGCCAACAACCUAGACAUCUCGUCAGAAGAAAGGCAACUAAGUGGAUGGAUUAUUAAAGGACAAGUACUAUUACAAUAACUUGCUGUCUGGAAUGGGAAAGUAUAUAUGUCACUCAUGUGGAGGAUGGGACUAACAUAGCUUCUCUUAAAAGGAACACAUGUCAUGUUUUUGAUUACCCCACGGAACUUCACUCUGACCAAGGAAUGGUUACUACCCAAAUAACACAACAAUGUGUGCAUUCUCCUAAAAUACAAUGGACUUUCCAUACACUUUGUCAUCCUCAGGCCAAUGGAGCUGUUGAAUGGUGGUGGAGCCAACUCACAAAACAACUGAAGAAAUGACAUCAAGAUGGCCUGCUAAUGGAGUGACAACCCCUUCUGACUAGAGCAAUGUGGUCACUAAACACUGCACUCUAAUCCAAGGGAAACAUGGUACUGCAGCUCAAGUUGACAGAGCUUGGUGGAGGUGGAGGUGGACUAAGUAGCUGCCUGGAGGUUGACAGAGAUGCAGAGCUUGGUGGAGGUGGAGGUGGACUAAGUAGCUGCCUGAUUAGGCUGUGCCUGCAAAAUCCCAAUUCCAGUGUUCCAAACUAUGAUUUUUGUUCUUCCCCUUUACAGUGCAUGUCCUGGAGGGUGGUUUGCAGUUUAGGCCACCCUAGUACCCCAGACAAGGCUCCCUAACUUCAAGGUGAUACUUCUCCUGGGUUCUUCUCCUCUAUGGGAUUCCACAGAGGUGGAGAACAAGACCAAGGAAUACCAGGAUGCUAGGGUUCCCCUGGAGGCAGGGAGCGUUUAAUCCUUCCAGUAUAGUGGAUGUUAUCAGACAUGUCAAGUUAAUACAGGAUAUAACCUCCCUUCCUAGGCUGGAUGACACAGGCCCAAAGGUCUGGGUCAAGCAACAAGAAUAAUGAGUGAUCACAAAGGUAUUAGCCUUGGGACUGGGGCAGACAGAUGGGUUCACUACACCAACUCAGCCCAACCCUUAUGCAAUAGGUAGGGGAUACCUGAGAUCCUGGGAGGGUAGAGGGGUGGGAAACUAACUUGUUAAUCUGCUUUUUCCACGAGGACAGGGUAGUACAGGCCUAGAAAUAUAAUAUCAUUUUUAGGCUCUCCCAGACUGUGGCAAUGUGGAUAAUCUGAUAAAGUGUUGGAUCUUUCAUAUGGGCCUCAUUCUGUCACAGACCACAGUUACCUGCCAGUGAUAAAACCACACCAGCAUUCCUUAAUGCCACAGUGUACACUAACAGAACCUGAGCAGCCCUAGCUUAUUGAAUGAGGAUCUGGUACCUGUUGCAUGGGAGAGAGCAGAAGGUUCUCUGUUUUAACUUAUAACUGACUGUGUGGCAAAAUAUCACAACUAUAACUAAACAGAAUCUUGGUGGGCUUGUGCUCUGAUGCACUAAGCUCCUCUGAUUACAUGGAUCAGAAAUGUUACAGUGGUAAUAAAGAAAACAAGAACUGGACCAGUGCUAGUCCUCUGCAUAGGAGUUUCAUGAACAAUAUUAUAUGAAGGAAAUUGGGCUCAUGCAACUAUGCCAUCAAUGAGACUUGGCUGGGAAAUGUCAAUGCCUCUUUACCAAUGAGUGGCUCACUGAACAAAGAAACAAAGAAAGGGGUGCUGUGUGUGCCCAAGCGUUGCAUCUCUCUCUGCAGGUGGCUGGGGAUGGCCUAGAUACAGGAUAGACAAUGCCAUGCCUGUAAAGCUGGUAGCUGGUGGGAUCCUGCACAUUGGGUGUACUAGGGGUGCCCCUAGAUAUCACCCUGGGAAGGAGAUGCUCCAUUAGGCCAGUGGCCUUAAGCUUUUACACAGGCUUACUAGGAACCCACCAGGAGGUGGGAUUGACUUUGGGUUUAUGUCCUUUAUUAGAUCUUUGAUGUCACACAUGAGUUGGUACUCAUAAAAAAGUAGUAAGAACCCUGCCUCUGACCAUGCAGAUAUUGCUUUUCCACUGCCACUGUCUUGGAAGCCCUAGACAUCCCCCAGAUUCCUCAGGAAAGUUGUUUUAGACAGUGGAAUUGCCCGAGACUUUCUUUUAGCUCAAUUGAGAGGAGUGUAUGUGUUUGGCAAUUCCUACUGCUGUAGCUAGAUAAACACCUUAGGUACAGUAGAGACAUAAGUAGAGGAGAUCUGGAAGCAGGUCCACUGGCUACAAACAGUGGGGCUAUCUGAUAAUCCUUCUUUGCCUUUUUUUUUUAGCAACUUCUUACCUGAGACACUGGUAUCCUGGAUUAGGUCACUGCCUCAAGCAGGUCUGGCUGUCCUGCUAGUGGUGUAGUCCUUUGGGAUCCAGUAAAGGAUUUUCUGUCUGUUACUCAACAGUGUUGCACUGAGUUUGGGUCAGUCAAGGUGCUACAUCAGUCUGGCUAGAUAAACCUCUUCCUCCAGAUCCAGAGAGGUUGGUGGGCAUUUGAAAUGCACUGACUUUGCUACGAGAGAUGUCUGGCUAGAGGGGUAGACCUUAGGACAAUUCUCCAGGUGGCCUUGGACAUACCUAGUUAUCCCUGUUUCUUGCUUGUAGUUCUCAAAAAUAACUAUAGAAUGUGCUGGGAAUGCAACAUCUUGAGUUAGGGAGGAACUGCUCUGGUACAGCCUGGGCUUUACUCCUCCUUCCUGUGGAAGCGAGAUAUCCUUCAAAGCUUUGCCCAGUGAUCAUGCGGCCCCUGGGUUAUAUAACUCAGAACAGGCUGCCAGCUGUGUUUCCUCAGCUGCAGUGCAAGUGGGGCAUGCUCCGUUGAGACUUUAUUCACUCUGGGCAGUUUGUUGAAGAUUAGGUGGUCAGCUCACAAUGAAUCAUAAGCUGCUUUUGUCCCUUGCUGUCUAUGCUUAGAAGCUAAAAGGUUAAGCAGCGAUGUCAGCGCUAUCAGGGAGCUGUGGAGACUGGAAUUGAAGUUCAGAACCUUUCAUGGGAGACAGCUCAGAGCCCUGACAGAUGAGAACCAGGAAUUUUUUGUUGAAGAGCUUUCAUCCUUUAGUCAUGGAAUUAUUCUGGAGCAUUUUUUCCUCUUCUUCCAAGUGUUCAAGUAAUAAGAAAGACAGCAGGAUCUUUUAUUUCAGAACAAACAUGAAGUUAUUUAAGAUUAUGUUAUUGAAUAGUCAAAAGAUUACUAUGGAGACUAAAGAGUGCUUUCAACCUAGAAAAAUGACUUUGAAUUAAGAAAAAAAUACCUUAAACACUUGUCCUAGAUAAGAGCCAGUGUGAAUUGCCUAAGCACUGACUAUGUGAUUUUUCAGAGUGCUAUUUCGCAAAGUCAUCCCACAGCCAGAUUUCUAAACAUAGACCUUGUAAAUCGGAGGGAAAAAUCCAGAAGACAUUUUUGUACACUAGGGUCAGAUGAAAAUUUCCACUCUGUAGUACUUUGUCCUCUAAACAACUUUAUCUCUCUGCCCUUUAUUUUAAAUUUUGGAGAAUGGGGGUGGAGGGUUAAUUAAGAAAGUCAAACAUUUAUAGAAACAUUUAAGUAAUCAAAUUGUUAUUAUGUCUUGACAUCUGGUCUUUCCCAUCUUACAUCUUCGUAAGAUGUACUCUCCUCUCUUUUUUUUCCAACAUUAUUGAACAUGUUUCAUAAGGUCAAGAUCACAAAAUGUUUUUCUCCCUUGGGAAAGUGACUAUCUAGAAAGCAGCUGAGGUUAGGGGCUACAGUUAACUACUGCAGUCAGUUAUGGAAUUUUAGGAAUAAGAGCAAGAGCACAGAGCAUGAGAUUAAAGAAAGAAUACAUUUUUUAAAAAGUCCACAGUAUCAGUAGCCUCUAACACAAGCUGCUCCCACGUUAACUACUGAAAGGCAAUACAAGCAACUGCUGUUAUCUGGCAGAAGGAAAAUUACUUGCAGCUACUUUGAGCUACAGGCAUGUUCUUAGCUAGGCACACUACGUUGGAAAUACGUGGUGAGUUUUGUCAAUCCACAUGUAGUGAAAGCUUAAGUGAUUAUUUAAGUAGCUGAAGCAAAGGAGUGUAAAACUAGCAUUUAUUGAAUACAGAAUUAUAGAUUUGGGAGAGUAGUAAAACGAUAAUCAGCAAGCUUCCAUUCUAUAAACAGGCUCUUGCAGAGUGACAAUUCAAAAGAAUGCCUUCUACACUGUCUUGCACAGACAUAAUUAUAAAAUAUUCUUAGUGGUAGAGAACAUUUACCAAAUAAAUAUAUGUUUAAUAACUACUCAGAAUAAAAUGUUUCUAUGAUUUCAUAGUUUUAAUCUUCUGUGAUAUGCAGUUCUAAUGAUUACUGCUUAAAAGAGGGUUUGCAUUUGGGUGAAAAACUAUGAAUCAAUCUGUUAUUCUGUAUUUUAAAAUAGAUUGAAUUUCUGUUUUCAGGAAAGGAAACAUUUAUGUUCUUAUGUACUAAGUAUGCAGGGAUUUAAGUUUAUAUUUACUUUUUUUCUGCAUCAAUAAUCUAUGUUUCAAAGUAUUAUUUGUGUAAAACAGUGUAAAAAACAUACUGAAUUAAAUUCUCCCCUGAGUGAGAAACAAUUUAGAAUUUGUGGUUAUGUCAUUUGACAAGUGAAGUCUACAUCUAAGCAGAAAAAGAAAAUGUUAAAACAAUGUUUAAAAAAAUAUUAAAACAACAACAAACUUACAAAUUUCCAAAAGAGUACUUUUUAAUGAAGUGGAUAUCUUUGUCUGAAAAAAAAAAGAACCAAUUUUGUAGAAAAAAUAACUUGUUUUUCAUUUUUCAUCUGCCAUGUUUUUGCCAUGUACCUAAUUUUUGAGGGGGAGGGAUUUUUUUUUUAUAAAAUAGAAAUAAUAAUAUAUACCUAAAUUUUCAUGAUGGGUGAUAUUGUAUUUGUUGCUUUUUAUUGCAUGUAUACCAAUUUGAAACAGGAAAGGUUUAAUAAGUAACACGCUCAUCAAAUGUCAGAUAUUUUUAUGGAUAGGCUCAAUUUUAGGUUCAAGGUUUGGUUUAUAUACUUAACAAAUAAUCAAGAAGCAUUUGCACAUCUAACAGCAUUUAGUCAAAUCUGUUAGAACAGACUUUCUAUAAUUCAUGGAAAAACUAAUGCUUCUUUGUGUUGCCUAAUAUGCCUUCUUAUAAAUGAAUCACACUGGUCUGACAGAAAGUUGAUCAGAACACUCUUUUGAAGACUGUACAAACCAGCAUAAAUAAGAUGCAUGCAAUAAGUAUGACACAUGGAUAUAUAUCUGAAACGUCAUUCAUAUAUCAGGCUCCAUUUGUAUUAUGUUAAAUUCAUUGUGUCAAGAAUAUGCAUAAUAUGCAUAUGUGGGAUUCAUAAUCACUCAAAUGUAGAUUAUUAUGGAAUAAAAUGUAGAUUUAUUCAACUGAAAAAUAAUGAACUAUGAUAAAAAGCAAAAACAAAACCCAGAACAAGUCAAAGGCAAAAAGGCAAUCUUUCCUUCAUUAUAUUUGCAAAGGAAAUACCUGUAUGACACCUCAACAAAUUUUGUCCAGUAUUUUUCUCAAGUGAUGAGACACCUGGUCCACUUAAUAUCAGGAGUCUACAAAUUAAUAGUCUUAAACAGAUCUUCAAGAGACUACAUGAUUUGUAUAUUCCUCAAUUAUAUUAGCAGUAAGAAACAUCUCUUGUAUCAUAUUUACUCAUUGUAAUCAUGCAAUAAAAAAGUUGAUAGUGCCUGUUUGCAUCCAUAUGACUCAAAUAAUUUGAGUAUCUUUUUCUCUGUAUUUUCUUCCUUUGGUUAAUAUAUUAGAGCUCCUUGCGGAUAUAAGAGAAACAAUAAUAAUGAUAUUGCACUUGUUGCCCAUCCUUCAUCCCCUUCAUCCAUAUAGUGUUAUUUUAUUUUAGUGAUACAAAUUUAAACAGGUUAAUAAAAAAUAGUCUCCUGAAUAUACUUUGAAACAAAUAUAUAACUUUUAUACUUUAUUAUUGUGAAAUUUAACACACAUGCCAAAAAUGCAACCCCUCAACAAAUGGUCACAUUUAUUAUUAUAAAAUGAGCAUCUGUGUAACUACCACUGUUGGCAUCUAUGGCCUGUCUAAGAGCAGGCUGCCAUGAUGCUGGCUGCAGUGGGGGAGGCUCUGCCUGGGCUACAUGAUCCAGGGAGCAAGCAGGAGCUGGGAACAGGUGGAAGCCCUGUCCCCUUGCAGGUUGGAGGGGCGAGAGCCCUACCGUCCCAGGCACAGCUGCAGCCACCCAGCCAUGGCUUCAGACCUAGGCAUCUCUGCAUUCUCGGGGGCCCAGGAAGCCUCCCUGCCCCUGCAGACACAGAAGUACCUACUCCUGCUGCCUGGCCUCUACCCGCUCCCAGUUCCCACUCCAGUUUCAGAGCAAAGUUGUGACUGAGCCUGGGCACUGUCACAACCCAGCCAGGUGUGCAUAUGCUGAGGGCAGUGCUGACACGCCAGUUCCCUGCCACCUUGGCUGCCUCCAGACUUUGGGCAUCUAGAAGCACAAGAGGGACCCCAUGGGGGGCUUAAGAGCGGCUCAGUAUGGGCCUGCAGACACCCCUCAACAUGCACUGGGUGCUGUGGGCACUGUGGAUGGCAGGUUAAUGGCAGCAGAAGGCAGACAGGCUCCUGGGCAAAAAGGGGAAGGUACUCUAUGAAAUCCUACCUUCAGGCCAGUGACGGCCUGAGGCCUGGGGGCUGGGCUGCCAGUUUUGUGGACUGGAGUGAGAACUUACGGUGCUUUUUCCAGCCUGCCCAUGGCCACUCAUGGACCAAUCAGCAUGCACUUCCUCCCCUCGGAAGCCCAUAAAGACUCCAGAGUCUCCUAGACUUGGGCAGAAAAUGGGACAAACUGCCUGUGGAGAGGAGCUACCCACUGUGGGUCUCCUCUCUGCUGAGAGCUGCACUUGUUGGGAUGACUUGCCUUUGGAGAGGAGCUACCCACUGCAGGUCUCCUCUGUCUGUCACUCAGGAAAGCACCUCUUCACCUUGCUCACCCUCCACUUGUCCAGAUGUCUCAUUUUUCUUGGACCUGGUACAAGAACUUAGGACUCACUGAAUGUUGGGGCUGAAAGAGCUGUAAUACAAACAAGGCUGAAACACGUCCCCUACUUGCCACAUUGCAGGUGACGAGAAGAGCUGAGGCCCUUUGGGGAGCCCAGACCUAGGAGCUCCCUGAGCCAGGGCUGUGACUCCCUCUUUGGGGCUCUGCGGUUCCUGGUGUCCCCAAGCUUCCAGAUGCCACUGCCUUCCCUGGUGCCUGCAGUGGAAACCACUUGCAGUAUGCCUGGUCCAGACACAGCCUCACAGGGAGCCAGCACCCAUGUCUGCCUGGAGCUGCCUGCCCCACUGCAGCCAACAUGCCCGGCUCUGUGCAGUGGCCAGACCCCAUGAUCACAAGCUCACACGCCCCUCACUGCUCCGCACCUGGCUUGCCCUUGGCAGGUAUGGGAUGUGGGCUGGUAGUGCCAGCCUAGUGCAGCCUGCCAGGUUGGGUGGGUGGAAUGAGCCCAGGGGGCCCAAGUAAAACUUGGGCAAAGGCACCACUGGCCAGGGAGGUUUCUGGCUGAAGAAGUGACACUCCAAGGAUCCCGUGACAUCACUCUGGUCAAGAGAUUGAACAUUAUCGUACUCCAGAGGCCUGCUUCUCAUAUUCCCCAUCCCCAACCCUAUGUCUCCUUCCUUCCCCUUAAUUACUAUCCUGAUUUUUACGUAAUCACUUCUUUUAUUUUCAUAAUUCAUAACAUGUUCGUUGGAAGAGCUUCUACAGAAAUUUUAAUUUUGCCAAUUUAGGUCGUGUGUGCAAAUGAAAUCAUAUAGUGUCUAAAUAUUAUUUUGUAUAUGGGCUCUUUCACUCAAUGUUAUCCUUAUAUGAUCAUAUCAUGCAUGUGGCUGCAGUUCAUACUGCAUUGUAUAAAUAUAUAAAUUAAUUUCACAUUUUACUAUUGAUCAUUUGGGUUGUUUCUAUUUUAUAACUAUUGUGAACAAUUUCAUUAUGAACACUCUUCUAAAUAGUUUUUAGUGUCCUGCUGAACAAAUAAAUAUAUAAUUUUUAUAUAUUUAUACAAUGCAGUAUAGAAGUGGAAUUGCUUGGUCAUAGGGAAUGCACAGUUCAAACUUGUUAAACUUUAGUAAAUAAUGCCAAGUUUUUUUCCCAACAGUUGUCCCAUCAUCAGUAUAUAUGAGUUCCUGUAGCUUCAAUACUUGACAGCAGUUGGUAUUAUUGGUCUUUUUUAUUGUAUCUAUUUAGUGGGCAGUGGUUGCUUCUCCCUGCGGUUUUAAUGUGCAUUUUUUUAUUUCUCUUGAGACGGUUACAUUUUCAUAUUUACGAGCUAUUAAUAUCCCUCUAUAUAAAGUGCCUAUUCAAGUCUUCUCUCUCUCUCUCUGUCUUUUAAUGGAAAAUCUGUCUCUUGUGUUUUUCUUAUUGAUUUGUACUUCUUUACAAAAUCUGGAUACAAACUCCUUGUCUGUUACAGGGUUACAAAUUUUUACUGAUAUGUGGCUUGCCUUUUCAUACUCUCAGUUGUUCUUUUUAAAAGUUCGUAAUUUGAAUGUGGCCAAAUGGGAAAGGUUUUCCCUUGAUUGUUAGUGUGCUUUGUGUCCUAGUUAAGAAAUCUUUCUCUAGAAUGAUGACAUGAAGAUAUUCGCUUAUAUUAUCUUCUAAAAGCAUUAUGUUCUAUGCUUCACAUAAGAGUCUAUAUGCUUCACAUAAGAGUCUAUAAUGUGUGGAAUUUAUUGUUAAGUGAGUGAUGUGAUAUAGGGUCCAAUUCUCUUUUUAUCUAGACAGAUUUCUAAAUGUCUAAGCACAAGUUUUUGAAAACAGUCUACUUGUUCUUCCUCCACUGCUCAGCUGUGCCAUCUUUGCUUUAAAUCACGUAUCAUUAUACGUGUGGGUAUUCUCACUAGGUUUUAAAAUUUUGUCUAUUCUUGAAUCCAUGGCCAUAGUUAAUUACUCUAGCAUUUUUUCUUUGUAAAAUUGAACUUAAUUUUUACUUUAUUUUUGAUUCAGGGAGUACAUGUACAUGUUUCUUACAUGGAUACAAUAUGUACUGGUGGGGAUUGGGCUUCUAGUGUACCCAUUAUCCAGACAGUAAACAUUGUACAUAUUAGAUAAUUUUCCAGCUCUCACUCCACUUCUACACUCCUUAAUUUUGGAGUCCCCAGUUCUAUUAUUUCCAUCUUUAUGUCCAUAUGCAUCCAUUGGUUAGCUCUCCAUUUUUGGUAUUUACCCAGUAGGCUACUAAGAACUAUAUAGAUGAGUGUUCAUAAUGGAAUUUUUCACAAGUCAUAAAAUAGAAACAACUCAAAUAAUCAAUGGUAGAAUGUGAAAAUAAUUUUUAUAUAUUUAUAGAAUGCAGUAUGGAUGAACUGCAGCCACAUCAUGGUGUGAUCAUAUAAACCUAACAUCGAGUGAAAGAUACUACACAGAAAAUAAUAUGUAUGCACUAUAUGAUUUCAUUGAUACACACUACACAAAUUCUACAUUUUCAUACUAGAAUGUGAAACAACAUUGACUUUUAAUUUAUUUUUAUUUAUUUAUUUUUUAAUUUUCAUGAAUUUGGGGUACAAGUGCAGUUGUUUUACAAGAUAUAUUGGGUAGUGGUGAAAUCUGGGCUUUUAAAGUACAUUGUACCCAACAGGUACAAUGGAAUAAUGUACAUUGUACCCAGUAGGUAGUAUUUCAGUUCUCACCCCCCUCUCAUCCUCCCAUCUUUUGGAAUCUUCAGUAUCUAUUAUUCCACUCUAUAUGUCUGUGUGCACCCAUUGUUUAGCUCCAACUUAUAAGUGAGAACAGGCAACUUUUAACUUUCUGCUUCUUAGUCAUUUCUCUAAGGAUAAUGAUGACCAGCUCCAUCCAUGUUGCUGCAAAUGACAUGAUUUUAUUUUAUUUUUUUUAAUUUCCAACUUUUAUUUUAAGU
This 15969-nucleotide long non-coding RNA is filed under the name Homo sapiens (human). Its description in RNAcentral is "HSALNT0335179". The record is from RNAcentral. Lineage: Eukaryota; Metazoa; Chordata; Mammalia; Primates; Hominidae.